This 418-nucleotide ribosomal RNA is filed under the name Rathayibacter sp. F160. Its description in RNAcentral is "bacterial SSU rRNA". It matches the Rfam family "Bacterial small subunit ribosomal RNA", at positions 117 to 545 of the family's 1533-position model. Lineage: Bacteria; Bacillati; Actinomycetota; Actinomycetes; Micrococcales; Microbacteriaceae. The record is from RNAcentral.
GUGAGUAACCUGCCCUUGACUCUGGGAUAAGCGCUGGAAACGGCGUCUAAUACCGGAUACGACCUGCCCCGGCAUCGGGUGCGGGUGGAAAGUUUUUCGGUCAAGGAUGGACUCGCGGCCUAUCAGCUAGUUGGUGAGGUAAUGGCUCACCAAGGCGACGACGGGUAGCCGGCCUGAGAGGGUGACCGGCCACACUGGGACUGAGACACGGCCCAGACUCCUACGGGAGGCAGCAGUGGGGAAUAUUGCACAAUGGGCGAAAGCCUGAUGCAGCAACGCCGCGUGGGGGAUGACGGCCUUCGGGUUGUAAACCUCUUUUAGUAGGGAAGAAGGGCUUCGGCUUGACGGUACCUGCAGAAAAAGCACCGGCUAACUACGUGCCAGCAGCCGCGGUAAUACGUAGGGUGCAAGCGUUGUC